This 301-nucleotide ribosomal RNA is filed under the name uncultured bacterium. RNAcentral describes it as "partial 16S ribosomal RNA". It matches the Rfam family "Bacterial small subunit ribosomal RNA", at positions 509 to 807 of the family's 1533-position model. The record is from RNAcentral.
CAGUCGCCGCGGGAAUACGAAGGUCCCAAGCGUUGUUCGGAAUCACUGGGCGUAAAGGGAGCGUAGGCGGCGUGGUAAGUCAGAUGUGAAAUCCCGGGGCUCAACCCCGGAACUGCAUCCGAUACUGCCAUGCUUGAGGGUUGGAGAGGUAGCUGGAAUUCUCGGUGUAGCAGUGAAAUGCGUGGAUAUCGAGAGGAACACUCGUGGCGAAGGCGAGCUACUGGACAACAUCUGACGCUGAGGCUCGAAGGCUAGGGCAGCGAAAGGGAUUAGAUACCCCUGUAGUCCCUGUCUCUUAUAC